This 464-nucleotide ribosomal RNA is filed under the name uncultured bacterium. RNAcentral's name for it is "partial 16S ribosomal RNA". It matches the Rfam family "Bacterial small subunit ribosomal RNA", at positions 339 to 795 of the family's 1533-position model. The record is from RNAcentral.
CUACGGGGGGCAGCAGUGGGGAAUAUUGCACAAUGGGCGCAAGCCUGAUGCAGCCAUGCCGCGUGUAUGAAGAAGGCCUUCGGGUUGUAAAGUACUUUCAGCGGGGAGGAAGGGAGUAAAGUUAAUACCUUUGCUCAUUGACGCUACCCGCAGAAGAAGCACCGGCUAACUCCGUGCCAGCAGCCGCGGUAAUACGGAGGGUGCAAGCGUUAAUCGGAAUUACUGGGCGUAAAGCGCACGCAGGCGGUUUGUUAAGUCAGAUGUGAAAUCCCCGGGCUCAACCUGGGAACUGCAUCUGAUACUGGCAAGCUGGAGUCUCGUAGAGGGGGGUAGAAUUCCAGGUGUAGCGGUGAAAGGCGUAGAGAUCUGGAGGAAUACCGGUGGCGAAGGCGGCCCCCUGGACGAAGACUGACGCUCAGGUGCGAAAGCGUGGGGAGCAAACAGGAUUAGAUACCCGCGUAGUC